GCCGGCGUAGCUCAAUUGGUAGAGCCUCCUUUCCCUAAAUUGGAAUGGUCGAGGGUUCGAAUCCCUCCGCUGGCACCA
RNAcentral lists this transfer RNA (78 nucleotides) under Agitococcus sp. RNAcentral's name for it is "tRNA-Phe". It matches the Rfam family "tRNA". Rfam says of the family: Transfer RNA (tRNA) molecules are approximately 80 nucleotides in length. Their secondary structure includes four short double-helical elements and three loops (D, anti-codon, and T loops). The record is from RNAcentral. Lineage: Bacteria; Pseudomonadati; Pseudomonadota; Gammaproteobacteria; Moraxellales; Moraxellaceae.